RNAcentral lists this non-coding RNA (25 nucleotides) under Cricetulus griseus (Chinese hamster). The record is from RNAcentral. Lineage: Eukaryota; Metazoa; Chordata; Mammalia; Rodentia; Cricetidae.
CUGGAGUGUAGUGUAGUGGGUGCCC